GUUGGAUAUUUUCACUCUUUAUAAUGUUAUUCGCACUCCAACUUAUCAGGCUAAUAGCUUUGUGGGGGGAGGAAAUAUUUGCCAAAUGUAUAAUGGAGGAAGUCAAAAGUUUGGAUAUGGACAACCAUAUUCACCUUCGGCUAAUUAUUAGAUGCAUCCAGAGCACUAAAAAAUAGUACUCCCUCUCUCACAGAAAAGUGGGUCAU
RNAcentral lists this unclassified non-coding RNA (206 nucleotides) under Hevea brasiliensis (rubber tree). Lineage: Eukaryota; Viridiplantae; Streptophyta; Magnoliopsida; Malpighiales; Euphorbiaceae. The record is from RNAcentral.